UACGUAGGGGGCAAGCGUUGUCCGGAAUCAUUGGGCGUAAAGCGCACGUAGGUGGCUUGUUAAGUCGGGUGUGAAAUCCCUGGGCUCAACCCAGGAAGUGCACUCGAAACUGGCGAGCUUGAGUACUGAAGAGGGUCGCGGAAUUCCCGGUGUAGAGGUGAAAUUCGUAGAUAUCGGGAGGAACACCAGUGGCGAAGGCGGCGACCUGGGCAGAUACUGACACUGAGGUGCGAAAGCGUGGGGAGCAAACAGG
RNAcentral lists this ribosomal RNA (253 nucleotides) under uncultured bacterium. Its description in RNAcentral is "partial 16S ribosomal RNA". It matches the Rfam family "Bacterial small subunit ribosomal RNA", at positions 524 to 776 of the family's 1533-position model. The record is from RNAcentral.